This 567-nucleotide ribosomal RNA is filed under the name uncultured bacterium. Its description in RNAcentral is "bacterial SSU rRNA". It matches the Rfam family "Bacterial small subunit ribosomal RNA", at positions 62 to 631 of the family's 1533-position model. The record is from RNAcentral.
UCGACGGAGCUGCUUUGAUGAGAUCUUCGGAUGGAUUUAAAACAGCUUAGUGGCGGACGGGUGAGUAACGCGUGGGUAACCUGCCUCACACUGGGGGAUAACAGUUAGAAAUAGCUGCUAAUACCGCAUAAGCGCACGGUUCCGCAUGGAACAGUGUGAAAAACUCCGGUGGUGUGAGAUGGACCCGCGUCUGAUUAGCCAGUUGGCGGGGUAACGGCCCACCAAAGCGACGAUCAGUAGCCGGCCUGAGAGGGUGAACGGCCACAUUGGGACUGAGACACGGCCCAAACUCCUACGGGAGGCAGCAGUGGGGAAUAUUGCACAAUGGGGGAAACCCUGAUGCAGCGACGCCGCGUGAGUGAAGAAGUAUUUCGGUAUGUAAAGCUCUAUCAGCAGGGAAGAAAGUGACGGUACCUGAAUAAGAAGCCCCGGCUAACUACGUGCCAGCAGCCGCGGUAAUACGUAGGGGGCAAGCGUUAUCCGGAUUUACUGGGUGUAAAGGGAGCGUAGACGGCAAGGCAAGUCUGAAGUGAAAGCCCGGUGCUUAACGCCGGGACUGCUUUGGAA